GAACUGCCAUUGAUACUAUCUGUCUUGAAUAUUGUGGAGGUAAGCGGAAUAUGUCAUGUAGCGGUGAAAUGCUUAGAUAUGACAUAGAACACCCAUUGCGAAGGCAGCUUACUACGCAUAUAUUGACGCUGAGGCACGAAAGCGUGGGGAUCAAACAGGAUUAGAUACCCUGGUAGUCCACGCCCUAAACUAUGGAUACUCGACAUAUGCGAUACACUGUAUGUGUCUGAGCGAAAGCAUUAAGUAUCCCACCUGGGAAGUACGUUCGCAAGAAUGAAACUCAAAGGAAUUGGCGGGGGUCCGCACAAGCGGUGGAGUAUGUGGUUUAAUUCGAUGAUACGCGAGGAACCUUACCUGGGCUAGCAUGCUGGGAGAUCGCUAGUGAAAGCUAGUUUUGUAGCAAUACACUGCCAGUAAGGUGCUGCAUGGCCGUCGUCAGCUCGUGCCGUGAGGUGUUGGGUUAAGUCCCGCAACGAGCGCAACCCCUAUCUUUAGUUGCCAACAGGUAAUGCUGGGAACUCUAAAGAAACUGCCGCCGUAAGGUGUGAGGAAGGAGGGGAUGACGUCAGGUCAUCAUGGCCUUUAUGCCCAGGGCUACACACGUACUACAAUGGGGAAGACAAAGGGCUGCAACAUAGCGAUAUGAAGCCAAUCCCAAAAACUUCCUCUCAGUUCAGAUUGCAGGCUGCAACUCGCCUGCAUGAAGCUGGAAUCGCU
This 717-nucleotide ribosomal RNA is filed under the name uncultured bacterium. RNAcentral's name for it is "bacterial SSU rRNA". It matches the Rfam family "Bacterial small subunit ribosomal RNA", at positions 618 to 1336 of the family's 1533-position model. The record is from RNAcentral.